AUCGCUUUAUUUACAUUUAAUGAAGCGAUUUAAGAGAGGAUAUGAGAAAAGGAGGAAUGGAAACACGUGGCAGAAAGGCAGAUUUGAUAGAAAGAAUGUGAAGGCGUCCAGUCUCUGCUGUCUGACCCUAAAUUGGCUAAAAGUGGAAUGUAUAUGGCCCUCAAAGAUGUGUCAACAACUUCAGUCAUAACAUUGAGAUCUGCCUUGUAUCUGUGUUCAACAAAUAGAUGUGUACUUUAUGCAUAGACUUGCAGGUCAACUAGAACUUCAAACUGUAGAUAAAUGGCAAAGAAG
Long non-coding RNA from Saccostrea echinata, 294 nucleotides. RefSeq lists it as uncharacterized. The transcript has 3 exons. The record is from RefSeq and is a predicted model, not a curated record. NCBI's taxonomy places the organism in Eukaryota, Metazoa, Mollusca, Bivalvia, Ostreida, Ostreidae.